Molecule: ribosomal RNA, 499 nt
Filed under: uncultured bacterium
Lineage: Bacteria
Description: partial 16S ribosomal RNA
Rfam family: Bacterial small subunit ribosomal RNA
Source: RNAcentral
GACGAACGCUGGCGGCGUGCCUAAUACAUGCAAGUCGAGCGAAGUUUUUCUGGUGCUUGCACCGGAAAAACUUAGCGGCGAACGGGUGAGUAACACGUAAAGAACCUGCCUCAUAGACUGGGACAACUAUUGGAAACGAUAGCUAAUACCGGAUAACAGCAUUAACUGCAUGGUUGAUGUUUAAAAGUUGGUUUUGCUAACACUAUGAGAUGGCUUUGCGGUGCAUUAGCUAGUUGGUGGGGUAAAGGCCUACCAAGGCGACGAUGCAUAGCCGACCUGAGAGGGUGAUCGGCCACACUGGGACUGAGACACGGCCCAGACUCCUACGGGAGGCAGCAGUAGGGAAUCUUCCGCAAUGGGCGAACGCCUGACGGAGCAACGCCGCGUGAGUGAAGAAGGAUUUCGGUUCGUAAAGCUCUGUUGUUAGGGAAGAAUGAUUGUGUAGUAACUAUACACAGUAGAGACGGUACCUAACCAGAAAGCCACGGCUAACUACGUG